CGCCUGUUUACCAGAAACAUCGCCUCUUGUAACCUACAAAUAAGAGGUCCCGCCUGCCCUGUGACUAUGGGUUUAACGGCCGCGGUAUUUUGACCGUGCAAAGGUAGCGCAAUCACUUGUCCUUUAAAUGAGGACCUGUAUGAAAGGCAUCACGAGGGCUUAGCUGUCUCCUUUUUCAAGUCGAUGAAGUUGAUCCCCCCGUGCAGAAGCGGGGAUUAGAACAUAAGACGAGAAGACCCUAUGGAGCUUUAGAUACAAGACAGAUCAUGUUAAGCACCUUAAAUAAAAAAGCAAACUAAGUGGAACCUGUCUUAAUGUCUUUGGUUGGGGCGACCGCGGGGCAACAAAAAGCCCCCAUGAGGAAUAAAAGUAUUCUUUCAAAAACAAGAGCCACAGCUCUAAUGAACAGAACAUCUGACCUACCAGAUCCGGCAUAGCCGAUCAACGAACCGAGUUACCCUAGGGAUAACAGCGCAAUCCCCUUUUAGAGCCCCUAUCGACAAGGGGGUUUACGACCUCGAUGUUGGAUCAGGACAUCCUAAUGGUGUAGCCGCUAUUAAGGGUUCGUUUGUUCAACGAUUAAAGUCCUACGUGAUCUGAGUUCAGACCGG
RNAcentral lists this ribosomal RNA (611 nucleotides) under Takifugu oblongus (lattice blaasop). RNAcentral describes it as "partial 16S ribosomal RNA". It matches the Rfam family "Bacterial large subunit ribosomal RNA", at positions 1797 to 2619 of the family's 2925-position model. The record is from RNAcentral. Lineage: Eukaryota; Metazoa; Chordata; Actinopteri; Tetraodontiformes; Tetraodontidae.